This is a long non-coding RNA of Entelurus aequoreus (snake pipefish), 617 nucleotides long. RefSeq lists it as uncharacterized. The record is from RefSeq and is a predicted model, not a curated record. The transcript has 3 exons. Lineage: Eukaryota; Metazoa; Chordata; Actinopteri; Syngnathiformes; Syngnathidae.
AACCAGUUCUGCAAGACACACAAAGGUCAAAGGUCGUAGAUCUGACACAGAUAUAGAAGUGAUAGAAGCAACCUUGUUGUUGUCGGCGUCUCUGAAGGACAGGGCAAAGUAGUCCCGCUCCAGCAGGUUGACGUGCUCGCAGACCUUCUCGAACAGCUGAAGACCGCGAGCUCGUUUCUGCAACAACGACAAUGAAGUCUUUGACUUGUUAAUGGGCUCAUUGUACAUGGGCUCAUUGUUCAUGUGCUCAUUGUUCAUGUUCUCACAGUGCAUGUGUUCACGCGUCUACUAGCGGUCUCACCUCCACAGUGCACGUAAACAGAGAGCCGUCCAGCAGGGUGACUUUGGCCUGCAUAGUUCUGAAGUUCAGAGCGUUCCUGACCGGGGAGGGAGCGACACGACUGCCCGGGGACAGGUUCCCUUGUUACCUGAAUGGGUGUGGAAUGGGCGGCGGCUUCAGGGAGAGACUCCGCCUCCUGCGGCUCGCUCUGCUCUGUCGUCAUGGCGAUGAGUUGACCUUAAAGUAGAAUUUGGACUGAACUGGCUGUCGAUCCUUUGACCCGGCCAGCUGUCAUGUGAGGGUUGCCGUGGUAACAGUAGAGCCAGAGAGAGAGAGA